AUUGAACGCUGGCGGCAUGCCUUACACAUGCAAGUCGAACGGCAGCACGGGUGCUUGCACCUGGUGGCGAGUGGCGAACGGGUGAGUAAUACAUCGGAACGUACCUUAUCGUGGGGGAUAACGCAGCGAAAGCUGUGCUAAUACCGCAUACGCCCUGAGGGGGAAAGCGGGGGAUCGCAAGACCUCGCGUGAUUAGAGCGGCCGAUGCCUGAUUAGCUUGUUGGUGGGGUAAAAGCCCACCAAGGCGACGAUCAGUAGCUGGUCUGAGAGGACGAUCAGCCACACUGGGACUGAGACACGGCCCAGACUCCUACGGGAGGCAGCAGUGGGGAAUUUUGGACAAUGGGGGCAACCCUGAUCCAGCAAUGUCGCGUGAGUGAAGAAGGCCUUCGGGUUGUAAAGCUCUUUUGUCAGGGAAGAAACACCGGCUCUAACACAGUCCGGGAAUGACGGUACCUGAAGAAUAAGCACCGGCUAACUACGUGCCAGCCGCCGCCGUAA
This 501-nucleotide ribosomal RNA is filed under the name uncultured bacterium. RNAcentral describes it as "partial 16S ribosomal RNA". It matches the Rfam family "Bacterial small subunit ribosomal RNA", at positions 30 to 523 of the family's 1533-position model. The record is from RNAcentral.